AGUCAACAUGCCCAAAGGACGUGGAUAACCUCGGGAAACUGAGGAUAAACCGCGAUAGGCCAAGGUUUCUGGAAUGAGCCCUGGCCGAAAUCUAUAUGGCCUUUGGAUUGGACUGCGGCCGAUCAGGCUGUUGGUGAGGUAAUGGCCCACCAAACCUGUAACCGGUACGGGCUCUGAGAGGAGGAGCCCGGAGAUGGGUACUGAGAAAAGGACCCAGGCCCUAUGGGGCGCAGCAGGCGCGAAACCUCUGCAAUAGGCGAAAGCCUGACAGGGUUACUCUGAGUGACUUUCGCUAAGAAAGUCUUUUGACACCUCUAAAAAUGGUGUAGAAUAAGGGGUGGGCAAGUCUGGUGUCAGCCGCCGCGGUAAUACCAGCACCCCGAGUGGUCGGGACGAUUAUUGGGCCUAAAGCAUCCGUAGCCGGUUUUACAAGUCCUCCGUUAAAUCCAGCUGCUAACAGAUGGGCUGCGGAGGAUACUAUAAGACUAGGAGGCAGGAGAGGCAAGCGGUACUCAGUGGGUAGGGGUAAAAUCCGUUGAUCCAUUGAAGACCACCAGUGGCGAAGGCGGCUUGCCAGAAUGCGCUCGACGGUGAGGGAUGAAAGCUGGGGGAGCAAACCGGAUUAGAUACCCGGGUAGUCCCAACUGUAAACGAUGCAGACUCGGUGAUGGACUACCUUUAUACUAGUCCAGUGCCGCAGGGAAG
RNAcentral lists this ribosomal RNA (705 nucleotides) under uncultured archaeon. RNAcentral describes it as "bacterial SSU rRNA". It matches the Rfam family "Archaeal small subunit ribosomal RNA", at positions 102 to 811 of the family's 1478-position model. The record is from RNAcentral.